Molecule: transfer RNA, 73 nt
Filed under: Oryctolagus cuniculus (rabbit)
Lineage: Eukaryota; Metazoa; Chordata; Mammalia; Lagomorpha; Leporidae
Rfam family: tRNA
About the family: Transfer RNA (tRNA) molecules are approximately 80 nucleotides in length. Their secondary structure includes four short double-helical elements and three loops (D, anti-codon, and T loops).
Source: Rfam by way of RNAcentral
GCACUGUGGCACAGAGGGUUAAUGCCCUGGCCUGAAGCGCCAGCAUCCCCGGGUUCGAGACCCGGCUGCUGCA